UUAGGUUAAGUUAGAAAGGGCGCACGGUGGAUGCCUUGGCACUAGGAGCCGAUGAAGGACGGUACUAACACCGAUAUGCUUCGGGGAGCUGUAAGUAAGCUUUGAUCCGGAGAUUUCCGAAUGGGGAAACCCUCCAUCCGUAAUGGGAUGGAACCCUUGCCUGAAUACAUAGGGCAUUGGAGGCAGACCCGGGGAACUGAAACAUCUAAGUACCYGGAGGAAGAGAAAGCAAACGCGAUUCCCUGAGUAGCGGCGAGCGAAACGGGAUUAGCCCAAACCAG
RNAcentral lists this ribosomal RNA (281 nucleotides) under Bacillus infantis. RNAcentral's name for it is "partial 23S ribosomal RNA". It matches the Rfam family "Bacterial large subunit ribosomal RNA", at positions 1 to 277 of the family's 2925-position model. Lineage: Bacteria; Bacillati; Bacillota; Bacilli; Caryophanales; Bacillaceae. The record is from RNAcentral.